CCCAGACUCCUACGGGAGGCAGCAGUGGGGAAUAUUGCACAAUGGGGGAAACCCUGAUGCAGCGACGCCGCGUGGAGGAAGAAGGUCUUCGGAUUGUAAACUCCUGUUGUUGAGGAAGAUAAUGACGGUACUCAACAAGGAAGUGACGGCUAACUACGUGCCAGCAGCCGCGGUAAAACGUAGGUCACAAGCGUUGUCCGGAAUUACUGGGUGUAAAGGGAGCGCAGGCGGGAAGACAAGUUGGAAGUGAAAUCUAUGGGCUCAACCCAUAAACUGCUUUCAAAACUGUUUUUCUUGAGUAGUGCAGAGGUAGGCGGAAUUCCCGGUGUAGCGGUGGAAUGCGUAGAUAUCGGGAGGAACACCAGUGGCGAAGGCGGCCUACUGGGCACCAACUGACGCUGAGGCUCGAAAGUGUGGGUAGCAAACAGGAUUAGAUACCCUGGUAGUCCACACCGUAAACGAUGAUUACUAGGUGUUGGAGGAUUGACCCCUUCAGUGCCGCAGUUAACACAAUAAGUAAUCCACCUGGGGAGUACGACCGCAAGGUUGAAACUCAAAGGAAUUGACGGGGGCCCGCACAAGCAGUGGAGUAUGUGGUUUAAUUCGACGCAACGCGAAGAACCUUACCAAGUCUUGACAUCCCUUGACGAACAUAGAAAUAUGUUUUCUCUUCGGAGCAAGGAGACAGGUGGUGCAUGGUUGUCGUCAGCUCGUGUCGUGAGAUGUUGGGUUAAGUCCCGCAACGAGCGCAACCCUUACUGUCAGUUACUACGCAAGAGGACUCUGGCAGGACUGCCGUUGACAAAACGGAGGAAGGUGGGGAUGACGUCAAAUCAUCAUGCCCUUUAUGACUUGGGCUACACACGUACUACAAUGGCGUUAAACAAAGAGAAGCAAGACCGCGAGGUGGAGCAAAACUCAGAAACAACGUCCCAGUUCGGACUGCAGGCUGCAACUCGCCUGCACGAAGUCGGAAUUGCUAGUAAUCGUGGAUCAG
This 997-nucleotide ribosomal RNA is filed under the name Faecalibacterium prausnitzii. Its description in RNAcentral is "bacterial SSU rRNA". It matches the Rfam family "Bacterial small subunit ribosomal RNA", at positions 330 to 1352 of the family's 1533-position model. The record is from RNAcentral. Lineage: Bacteria; Bacillati; Bacillota; Clostridia; Eubacteriales; Oscillospiraceae.